Molecule: small RNA, 388 nt
Filed under: Pan troglodytes (chimpanzee)
Lineage: Eukaryota; Metazoa; Chordata; Mammalia; Primates; Hominidae
Description: retained intron
Source: RNAcentral
GGGAGACGGGCACGGGGCUUCUGAUGGUGACGCGCUUGCUGGAGAGUGUGGGGUGACACAGCCGGGCUCUCCCUAUAACUGGUGACCGGGGGUGCUCCAGAGGUAUUGGGUCAACGCAGCCUGUGCCUGUGAACCUCGGCGGUGCGUCCCUGGGACUCUGCUCUGUGAGGUAUGGCAGGGGUUUUCUAAUGUUGCUCUUAUUUCAGAAAGACAGAAUGUCUUACCCUUCUGGUUCUGUUUUCCCCAGGCCAGCAUCCUUCAGAAAAAGCAUCCCCGAGGAGGAAGACGAAUCGUUAAACAUCUUAAAGGGUCAGGUGAGUAUCCUUUUUUUUUAUAUUAAAUGAUAUAUGUUUAUAAGACUUAAGACCAAACAUUAAAGGUAGAUGAC